CCACAGGCCGUAAACCCAAGGUUUCCAGGGGAAGGUUCGUCCGCCCUGGGUUAGUCGGGACCUAAGCUGAGGCCGAAAGGCGUAGGUGAUGGACAACAGGUUGAUAUUCCUGUACUACCGAUAACCGCUUGAGAGAAGGGAUGACACAGUAGGAUAAGCUAAGCACACUGUUGGAUAUGUGUGCCCAAGCAUUGAGGCAGUCAAAGUAGGCAAAUCCGCUUUGAUAAUGCUGGGAUGUGAUGGGGAGCGAAAUUUAGUAGCGAAGUAGCUGAUUUCACACUGUCAAGAAAAGUCUCUAUCGA
Molecule: ribosomal RNA, 302 nt
Filed under: Clostridioides difficile
Lineage: Bacteria; Bacillati; Bacillota; Clostridia; Peptostreptococcales; Peptostreptococcaceae
Description: partial 23S ribosomal RNA
Rfam family: Bacterial large subunit ribosomal RNA
Source: RNAcentral